CAGUCGCCGCGGGAAUACGUAGGUGGCAGGCGUUGUCCGGAAUUAUUGGGCGUAAAGGGCCCGCAGGCGGUUUCUUAAGUCUGAUGUGAAAGCCCCCGGCUCAACCGGGGAGGGUCAUUGGAAACUGGGAAACUUGAGUGCAGAAGAGGAGAGUGGAAUUCCACGUGUAGCGGUGAAAUGCGUAGAGAUGUGGAGGAACACCAGUGGCGAAGGCGACUCUCUGGUCUGUAACUGACGCUGAGGAGCGAAAGCGUGGGGAGCGAACAGGAUUAGAUACCCCUGUAGUCCCUGUCUCUUAUAU
This 301-nucleotide ribosomal RNA is filed under the name uncultured bacterium. RNAcentral describes it as "partial 16S ribosomal RNA". It matches the Rfam family "Bacterial small subunit ribosomal RNA", at positions 509 to 809 of the family's 1533-position model. The record is from RNAcentral.